GACGAACGCUGGCGGCGUGCCUAAUACAUGCAAGUAGAACGCUGAAGGAGGAGCUUGCUUCUCUGGAUGAGUUGCGAACGGGUGAGUAACGCGUAGGUAACCUGCCUGGUAGCGGGGGAUAACUAUUGGAAACGAUAGCUAAUACCGCAUAAUAUUGACUAUUGCGUGAUAGUCAGUUGAAAGGUGCAACUGCACCACUACCAGAUGGACCUGCGUUGUAUUAGCUAGUUGGUGGGGUAACGGCUCACCAAGGCGACGAUACAUAGCCGACCUGAGAGGGUGAUCGGCCACACUGGGACUGAGACACGGCCCAGACUCCUACGGGAGGCAGCAGUAGGGAAUCUUCGGCAAUGGACGGAAGUCUGACCGAGCAACGCCGCGUGAGUGAAGAAGGUUUUCGGAUCGUAAAGCUCUGUUGUAAGAGAAGAACGAGUGUGAGAGUGGAAAGCUCACACUGUGACGGUAUCUUACCAGAAAGGGACGGCUAACUACGUG
RNAcentral lists this ribosomal RNA (495 nucleotides) under uncultured bacterium. RNAcentral describes it as "partial 16S ribosomal RNA". It matches the Rfam family "Bacterial small subunit ribosomal RNA", at positions 28 to 507 of the family's 1533-position model. The record is from RNAcentral.